GCCCUGGUGGCGCAAUGGUUAAGCGCUCAACUACUAACUGAAAGGUUGGUGGUUCGAACCCACCCGUUGGCU
Molecule: transfer RNA, 72 nt
Filed under: Loxodonta africana (African savanna elephant)
Lineage: Eukaryota; Metazoa; Chordata; Mammalia; Proboscidea; Elephantidae
Rfam family: tRNA
About the family: Transfer RNA (tRNA) molecules are approximately 80 nucleotides in length. Their secondary structure includes four short double-helical elements and three loops (D, anti-codon, and T loops). Further hydrogen bonds mediate the characteristic L-shaped molecular structure. tRNAs have two regions of fundamental functional importance: the anti-codon, which is responsible for specific mRNA codon recognition, and the 3' end, to which the tRNAs corresponding amino acid is attached (by aminoacyl-tRNA synthetases). tRNAs cope with the degeneracy of the genetic code in two manners: having more than one tRNA (with a specific anti-codon) for a particular amino acid; and 'wobble' base-pairing, i.e. permitting non-standard base-pairing at the 3rd anti-codon position.
Source: Rfam by way of RNAcentral